RNAcentral lists this ribosomal RNA (926 nucleotides) under Vibrio parahaemolyticus. RNAcentral's name for it is "partial 23S ribosomal RNA". It matches the Rfam family "Bacterial large subunit ribosomal RNA", at positions 219 to 1196 of the family's 2925-position model. Lineage: Bacteria; Pseudomonadati; Pseudomonadota; Gammaproteobacteria; Vibrionales; Vibrionaceae. The record is from RNAcentral.
AAGAAAUCAACCGAGAUUCCGAAAGUAGCGGCGAGCGAAAUUGGACUAGCCCUUAAGCUUUACACGCGUUAGACGAACGGUCUGGAAAGUCCGACGAUACAGGGUGAUAGUCCCGUAGUUGACGACGUGUGUUCAGUGAAAUCGAGUAGGGCGGGACACGUGAUAUCCUGUCUGAAUAUGGGGGGACCAUCCUCCAAGGCUAAAUACUACUGACUGACCGAUAGUGAACCAGUACCGUGAGGGAAAGGCGAAAAGAACCCCUGUGAGGGGAGUGAAAUAGAACCUGAAACCGUGUACGUACAAGCAGUAGGAGCAGGCUUUGUCCUGUGACUGCGUACCUUUUGUAUAAUGGGUCAGCGACUUAUAUUCAGUGGCAAGGUUAACCAUCUAGGGGAGCCGUAGGGAAACCGAGUCUUAACUGGGCGUUCAGUCUCUGGAUAUAGACCCGAAACCAGGUGAUCUAGCCAUGGGCAGGUUGAAGGUUGAGUAACAUCAACUGGAGGACCGAACCGACUAAUGUUGAAAAAUUAGCGGAUGACUUGUGGCUAGGGGUGAAAGGCCAAUCAAACCUGGAGAUAGCUGGUUCUCCCCGAAAGCUAUUUAGGUAGCGCCUCGGACGAAUACUACUGGGGGUAGAGCACUGUUAAGGCUAGGGGGUCAUCCCGACUUACCAACCCUUUGCAAACUCCGAAUACCAGUAAGUACUAUCCGGGAGACACACGGCGGGUGCUAACGUCCGUCGUGGAGAGGGAAACAACCCAGACCGCCAGCUAAGGUCCCAAAUUACUACUAAGUGGGAAACGAUGUGGGAAGGCUCAGACAGCCAGGAUGUUGGCUUAGAAGCAGCCAUCAUUUAAAGAAAGCGUAAUAGCUCACUGGUCGAGUCGGCCUGCGCGGAAGAUGUAACGGGGCUAAGUAGUAAACCG